GGGAAGUUAGCUCAACUGGUAGAGCAUUAGGUUGAAGCCCUAAGUGUAAGUGGUUCAACUCCACUACUUCCCA
Molecule: transfer RNA, 73 nt
Filed under: Caudoviricetes sp.
Lineage: Duplodnaviria; Heunggongvirae; Uroviricota; Caudoviricetes
Description: tRNA-Phe
Rfam family: tRNA
About the family: Transfer RNA (tRNA) molecules are approximately 80 nucleotides in length. Their secondary structure includes four short double-helical elements and three loops (D, anti-codon, and T loops).
Source: RNAcentral